AAACAAUUUCCUUAGGCAAGCAUUUCCGGUGAUAGGAUGUUGGACACCGUCUACACAUGGCAAACUGUAGCUCAGGUUUAUCUUUAUCUUCUCUUUGUUUACAGACGCAACAAUGAUGCAGAGGACAAGCAAAAGAUUCACCAGCAGCAAUCUUCUUUUUAAGUUCAUCAACCUUGGACUGAGCAUCAGGAUGAAGCAGCCUGGCAACACAAUGUGGAUGGUAAAAAUGGCCGCAAGUCGCAUUAACGCAACGGAAGACCUCCGCAUUAGAUGAUUGAUCAGAAGAUCCCAACUUCCCACAAGCAUAGCACUGGUGCUGCUGAUAUUCACAAUUCUUACAAUAGAAAUCUUGAUAUUUCAUUGCCUUGACAUGAGCUUUUGUAAAACCAAGAGAUUUACACUGAGAUUCAG
Molecule: unclassified non-coding RNA, 411 nt
Filed under: Hevea brasiliensis (rubber tree)
Lineage: Eukaryota; Viridiplantae; Streptophyta; Magnoliopsida; Malpighiales; Euphorbiaceae
Source: RNAcentral